Triticum urartu is the source of this 126-nucleotide non-coding RNA. NCBI's taxonomy places the organism in Eukaryota, Viridiplantae, Streptophyta, Magnoliopsida, Poales, Poaceae. The record is from Rfam.
GUAGUACUCCGUCAGUCCAAAAAAGGUUGUCCCAAACUUGUUCCUCAAAUGGAUGUAUCUAGCACUAACUUGGUGCUAGAUACAUCAAUUUGAGGGACAAGUUUUUCCGGACAGAGGGAGUGUAUC